CUGUCUUAGGCUCCUGUUUCAGACGAAUUCUUGAUGACAGGUGGACUUUUCCCAUACCCUGGAUUUGGUGGACCAAAGUCAAAACUAGAAUUGACGAAGCUGGAGAGGGUGUGGACCUGCUUCCCUUCACCCACUCCCGCCGGAAUUAGGGGAGGUGGAGGCCUUUCGCCUUAGGCGGCCCCGGGGGCGCUAACGAGAAGACGCUUUGCAAAGUGCAGACUGAAAACAAGGCUGCCAGACAUGAACUACAUGGGCCAACCUUGCCUAAACCACAAGGCCACGUCAUUGAAGAGAUGGUCUCUACAAGAUCGAUAAUGUCCUACUGAACCUUACUAAGCCCGGCAAGUUUCAUUUUCUCUGCCAGGAGACACUGACAGCCAGCACCAGGUCAGUCCUCAUCUGCAACCAACUCCACAACACGAGAGGCUUUCAGAUUCAGAAGUACCCCGGGAUUUCUGCCAUGUUCAAGAAACAGCACCAUCUGAUCUGAAUGGAGCUGGGGCUGCAGCAAGGGAUAGGGGAGAGACCAGGCCACAGGGCAGGUAUGGCUGCUUGAUUUGGUAAACACUGGGGAACUCAUGAAGAUUUUUAAGCAGGAAAGUGCCCGAUCAUACUGGUAGGAGGGGAAGAGCUGGAAUGGAAGGGAAGAGGCUGAAGGCAGGUUCACUUUGGAGGCUGCUGCAAGGGUUCAGGUGAAAAUAUCAAGAGCCUGAAUUAGGGCUAGAAUGUGGAUUAAAACCACAGUCCUUCAGUCCUCCACAAUAGAGAUGAGCUUUACCAAUUAAACUACUACAGAUCUUAUCUGAAUUGGAAUUAUAAGAUACUUUAAAUGUGAAUGUCUAGAGGUCCCUGUUAAUCAAACAUUAAACAACUACUGUCUCACCAGGCCUUGAAAUGUCCUGUGCUCAAUAAAUGUGUCCAGAGGUCCUGAGCUGGACAAACAGAAUAGAGGUCAAAGGGGCUCAUGUUGAGUAAAUGUUUGAGAGGCGAUGAAGAAAACUACAGAGGUUCUUGUAAGCAUCAUAAGAAAGGUCAGGGGCAUUUGUUAAACAAACCUGAAGAUGAAUGAAGACAAUCCCAAAGGAAUAUGUCAGAGAAUUUGCAAACCCACUCAUCAGGGAUGUUCCCCAUCUCAGACAUACCAUUAAAGAGGGCACAAAGCCUGCAGCAAGCCAGGAGGGAGGACUGUGCAGUGGUGGUCACCUAAGAGGCACCUGCUGAGACCUGACCCUCCACUUUGGUGAUCGCCCAACUAAAUGACAAACCCCAGAGGCUCCUCCUCAGCUCUCAAUCCCUCUGGCCCCUCCACAAUGUCUGAAUGCACUUCUUGGAGUCCUUUAUGAACUUGUCACUUCCAUCAGGAGGUGAGAAAACAAAUUUUAGUUGGGUAAGAGUUAAAAAAAAUAAGAAGAAUAAAAUGAAAAGUUAUUUUUCAAGAUCAAAGAAAAUCAGAUACUUUGCUAUAGAUGAAACCUAAGACUACCAAACACAUAUCCUAUGAAGUCCAAACUGGCAGCACAAAGAGAUUUCAGAUAGAAUAAAAAGGCUAUCCUAGAGGUUACUCCUAUGCAAGCUUCAGCUAGAUAUGCCAAAUGGCCAUAGUAUGAUAAGCCCAAGUCAACAGUAGUCCUGAAAACCCUAAAGAAUACCUGUCCCUAGCUGAGACUCUUAAAGUUUCACUCACUAAGUUUACUCUUCAGGAACUUCAGUCCUCCAGAGAGGUCCUAUGCCAGCUGAGUCCCAAAACUCAGAGGCAACAAUCUCUUCAAGAACAACAACCAGAUGUGUCCCGUUUUCCCAUAAUGUUGACACCCCUUUUCAACAUGAACAAGUUAGGGUGGUCACUGCCUAGACAUCCCUA
Molecule: long non-coding RNA, 1861 nt
Organism: Choloepus didactylus (southern two-toed sloth)
Lineage: Eukaryota; Metazoa; Chordata; Mammalia; Pilosa; Megalonychidae
Exons: 3
Source: RefSeq, a predicted model, not a curated record